This is a long non-coding RNA of Carassius auratus (goldfish), 713 nucleotides long. RefSeq lists it as uncharacterized. The record is from RefSeq and is a predicted model, not a curated record. Lineage: Eukaryota; Metazoa; Chordata; Actinopteri; Cypriniformes; Cyprinidae. The transcript has 3 exons.
GUGUGUGUGUGUGUGUGUGUGUGUGUGUGUGUGUGUGUACUAACAUUUAUGUCGGUGUGGGUUCCCAUCGGUGGGAGCACAUCCACCUAAGGAGUUCCAAAAUCGGAGUGGGGCCCAAAAUGGUGGGCCCCAAUCCGAUUUCAAUUAAAAUAAGCUCAGCAGCUUCCCCUGAUGCUACCAUUGCUUUUUUUUUCAUCUCUAAAAAGUGGCCCGUAAGGUAGCAAAAAGUGGGUAAGUGUGUGAAGGUGUGUAUGGUCGAGCCUUUUUUAACCGGAAGUCAGGAUAUACACUUCCCGCGAAUUCAAAUACACACCGCGGGAAUCUGAAACCUUUGGCCAAUGAAAUUACUGCACUGUAUAAUUAGGCGCGAAAGUAAGGAAAACUGCGGAAAUUGCACAAGAAGAAGUAGAAGAAGAAGAAGAAGACUUCAAGGAUUGAAGAUUGAAGACAGAAGAAGACGGAGUGGUUGAAAAUCUGAAUAUUUUUACAAAUACCGACCUCUGAUGCAACAGGGCCAUUAUGUCCACAAGGAGGAUGAGGAAAAAGCCUAUAGAUGAUGCAAAGACAUACAUUCUGUCUUGCACUGACAAGGAUGGGUUUAUGCCAAGAUUCAUUGACCAUUACAAAGGAAGAGGAGUGUUUGCCACACACCCCAUUGAACCCGGGGACUUCGUGUUGGAGUACAGGGGUAAACUCCUCACACAGGUGGAAUG